CACGUAGGGGACGAGCGUUGUCCGGAUUCAUUGGGCGUAAAGAGCUCGUAGGCGGCUUGUCACGUCGGGUGUGAAAGCCCGGGGCUUAACCCCGGGUCUGCAUUCGAUACGGGCUAGCUAGAGUGUGGUAGGGGAGAUCGGAAUUCCUGGUGUAGCGGUGAAAUGCGCAGAUAUCAGGAGGAACACCGGUGGCGAAGGCGGAUCUCUGGGCCAUUACUGACGCUGAGGAGCGAAAGCGUGGGGAGCGAACAGG
Molecule: ribosomal RNA, 253 nt
Filed under: uncultured bacterium
Lineage: Bacteria
Description: partial 16S ribosomal RNA
Rfam family: Bacterial small subunit ribosomal RNA
Source: RNAcentral